RNAcentral lists this ribosomal RNA (253 nucleotides) under uncultured bacterium. RNAcentral describes it as "partial 16S ribosomal RNA". It matches the Rfam family "Bacterial small subunit ribosomal RNA", at positions 524 to 776 of the family's 1533-position model. The record is from RNAcentral.
UACGUAGGGUGCGAGCGUUGUCCGGAAUUAUUGGGCGUAAAGAGCUUGUAGGCGGUUUGUCGCGUCUGCUGUGAAAAUCCGGGGCUCAACCCCGGACUUGCAGUGGGUACGGGCAGACUAGAGUGUGGUAGGGGAGACUGGAGUUCCUGGUGUAGCGGUGAAAUGCGCAGAUAUCAGGAAGAACACCCGUGGCUAAGGCGGCUCUCUAGUACGUGACUGACGCUGAGACGCGAAAGCGUGGGGAGCGAACAGG